GACGUAGGAGGCGAGCGUUAUCCGGAUUCACUGGGCGUAAAGCGCAUGUAGGCGGAUGUCUAAGUCGUGUGUUAAAGCCCCUGGCUCAACUGGGGGAGGUCAUGCGAGACUGGAUGACUUGAGGGCAACAGAGGCACGUGGAACUCCCGGUGUAGCGGUGGAAUGCGUAGAGAUCGGGAAGAACACCGGUGGCGAAGGCGGUCUGCUGGGCAGUAGCUGACACUGAGGCGCGACAGCGUGGGGAGCAAACAGG
RNAcentral lists this ribosomal RNA (253 nucleotides) under uncultured bacterium. RNAcentral's name for it is "partial 16S ribosomal RNA". It matches the Rfam family "Bacterial small subunit ribosomal RNA", at positions 524 to 776 of the family's 1533-position model. The record is from RNAcentral.